Molecule: ribosomal RNA, 516 nt
Filed under: uncultured microorganism
Description: bacterial SSU rRNA
Rfam family: Bacterial small subunit ribosomal RNA
Source: RNAcentral
GAGUUUGAUCGUGGCUCAGGAUGAACGCUGGCGGCGUGCCUAAUACAUGCAAGUCGAGCGAACGGACGAGAAGCUUGCUUCUCUGAUGUUAGCGGCGGACGGGUGAGUAACACGUGGAUAACCUACCUAUAAGACUGGGAUAACUUCGGGAAACCGGAGCUAAUACCGGAUAAUAUUUUGAACCGCAUGGUUCAAAAGUGAAAGACGGUCUUGCUGUCACUUAUAGAUGGAUCCGCGCUGCAUUAGCUAGUUGGUAAGGUAACGGCUUACCAAGGCAACGAUGCAUAGCCGACCUGAGAGGGUGAUCGGCCACACUGGAACUGAGACACGGUCCAGACUCCUACGGGAGGCAGCAGUAGGGAAUCUUCCGCAAUGGGCGAAAGCCUGACGGAGCAACGCCGCGUGAGUGAUGAAGGUCUUCGGAUCGUAAAACUCUGUUAUUAGGGAAGACAUAUGUGUAAGUAACUGUGCACAUCUUGACGGUACCUAAUCAGAAAGCCACGGCUAACUACGUCG